Sarcophilus harrisii (Tasmanian devil) is the source of this 3928-nucleotide long non-coding RNA. The record is from Ensembl. Lineage: Eukaryota; Metazoa; Chordata; Mammalia; Dasyuromorphia; Dasyuridae.
GGGAAGCAGCAGCCACAGCAGCAGCUAACCAGGGAGAAAGGGAAGAAAGGAGAUCAGACAAAGGAGAAUACCCGCUAUAAAACUGGGAAAAAAACUAUAAAACUAUGUUCUGUUGCACAAUGGGCCAGAAAGGAGAGAAACCUUAGUUGGAAGAAGCAAGGGGAGAAAUCUCUAGGACCAAUGGAAGAAUAGAAAGAAGGUGUGAGGAGCCACCUGGGACUGACAAGUGUUGCCUAGGGGUUAUAUCAGCAAAAGUUCCUGAUCAGCAAAAGUGGCAACUCCACUGACAACUGGUAGGAAAAAGAAAAGGAGACGGAGGAUUGACCGAAGCAUGAUAGGCGAGCCAACAAACUUUGUUCACACAGCUCAUGUAGGAUCAGGUGACCUGUUCAGUGGAAUGAAUUCAGUUAGCUCCAUACAGAACCAAAUGCAAUCCAAAGGAGGUUAUGGAGGUGGAAUGUCUUCAAAUGUCCAAAUGCAGCUUGUAGAUACAAAGGCAGGAUAACCUUGGGAGCAUUUUCAGUUCAUGUGAAUUUCCAUAGUUCUUCUUUCUACUGUUUUGUUUUUGUUUAUUUGGAGUUUUUUGGUUUUUGGAAUUGUUUUGGUUUGGGACUUGGGGGGGAGGGGGCCCUUGAGACUACUUUCAUGCUUAUUUUAAGAAAGAAAUGUGAUAUGGGACCUUGUUCAACCUCUUGUGAUUACUUCAGUGAAAAGUUACUGUUAUGCUCCAAAGAAGCUGUUUGUAAAAGUGGAUCUUGUCAUGCCUUCCACUGGCAUGCAUGUUGUUGGCUUCUACCAAAAUAAUCGAUAAAUAGUAGACUGGGUUGUGAUUUUAUAUUUUAGAUAUUUUUUCAAGUUUGAAUAAAUAGGCAACUGAUUUUAGCAUGACAUUUUCCUCUAAUCACUACUAUACAGCAUAAGUUUGCCAAUUUUUUUACUUAAAAAAAGAAGCUUUUCUGUCCCUUCUACUCUUCUUGUUGUAAUUUUAGGUCCCAAGCAUGACAUGUUAUAAUUUUUUAUUUAUAUAUUUGGGGAAAGUCUAGGACCCACAAGCACAAUGAUCAUUUUCCCAUUUGUUUAAAGCCUGGCAAAGUAAAUGCCUGUGCUUUAUAAAGUUGCCUCUUUGGUGCCAGAAAUAAAAUUGCUCAUUUGCUGCAGCUUUUGUUGCUGCUAGUGGAGAAAAUUUAAGUAUGGCGCUAUAGUCAUAUCAGUAUCACCGAAAAGGAUAAUUUAGCUGCUUUAAAAUGAUGUCCCUUUUAGUUCUAUUUGAUCUUGAAAUAAAACAAAAGCUUGCAUUCAUAAGACAUUCUGUUGUAAAUGUUAGUAUAUUUAUUUUAAGAGAACUGACCUCAAGAUUGUAAACUAGUGUAGUAACAUAUGUAAAUAACAUAUGAUAGUACUUUCCUCCAGUCAGUUUUCAAGUGGUGUUGCACUAGCUACACAUUUCUUUUUACCUUCCCUUCCUUUUUUGCUUUUUAUGUUGACUUUUAGACUGUCCAUCAGCAGAAUGUUGAACUGCCUAUCUGUGUUAUUAAUAGCAGUUCAAUGAACCUCUCAACGUAGUUGGUAAGUUUUUUUUUUUUUUUCCUAAGUGUUUCCAGGCCAUGUUAAGUUGCUAAUAGCAACAUAUUGACCUGGCAGAAUAGAAACUAUGGAAAACAACUUACAGGGUGACUUUUUACUGUUGGUAAGAAGCCUUUUGCUCAGGUUCCAAAGCAUAUUCAUCUUUCACAAAUUGUAAAAAGUAAAUUUGAAUAUUGCACUAUCUUCAAAUUCUAGAAAUGGUUCCUCCUUCUUCCAUUAUCCCCAUUCCAUACUUUCAUAGUUAUCUGAAAACAAAGUCAUUAAUUUCAUUCUCUCUUGAUUUUUUAAAAUUAUUCAUACAAUUCACCUCCAUGUUUGUCUGAUACGGUUAUCUAACAAUAGGGCAAAAUUGAGCUAAACCAGAGUGCCACCAAUAAGUUGGAAAUUAAAUGAAUGCAAAGAAGUAAAUUUUUAUACGGUAUUCAUAUUUCCAUCUAAACCUCACUUCCUUCUGAAACAACUAAUUAAAUAAGUGCUAGAUAUGUGAUGGCACUAGAUAGUAUCUUCUCCCUGGUAAUUUACAAGUUAAUUCACUGGAAAUGAAGUAGCCAUCUGAUUACACUUACAUAGUUAUACCUGCAGAGUGGUCAAAUGUAGUAGAUUUAAGUAAAAGAAACAGAUUGUUGAUUCUUUGGAUUCAUGAUUUCAAAUGGUGUCCAAGAUCCUUUCUAUUAAUAUAAUUUGCUCCUUGGAAUUUGACGUAAGAAAAUCAUUGUCAGUAAUGCGUUUUUGGAAAUGGAAUCUUGUAUUUGAUUUGAUGAUCCAACUGUGUAUCUAUGACUACCACACUGACCCCAGCAUUUUUUCCAUAGCACUAUUUGAUAUAUUCGGCUCUGCAGUGCAUUAUCAUUUCACACUUUAUCAGAAUAUGCGCACUUUAAGACUGGUGCUUUUUGCAACAGAGAAUAGCUACAUUCCAACUACUCUGCUUCUACUGUUUCUCUUAGAAGUACCAUUGAAAUUCUUCAGAUUCAUACAAAGUAUAAUGUGUAGAGUGCAGUACUGUCUGGGCAAAAGGCUUUGGACCAUAGGAAGUGCUGUCACUUCUGCAGGAUGAGCAGCACUAUCAGCAGAUCUUGACUGUGUAUUGCUCCUGAGGGUUGAAUUAGAACAGCAGGAGAAGCCAGGUCUCUAUAGUCAUUGUCUCUUCAAAAUCAUAGGUUUUCUUCCCUUGAUUGAUGUUAAGAUAGGUAUUUGGGUCAGUCAUCCCUCCCAUUCCUGUCGUAGUUCAGUCACAUCUGACUCAUCAUGACUCCAAAUGAGGUUUUCUUGGCAAAGAUACUGGAGUGGUUUUGCCAUUUCCUUCUCCAGCUCAUUUUAUAGAUGAGGAACCUGAAGCAAACAGGGUUAAGUGACUUGCCCAGGGUCACACAUCUAGUAAAUGUCUGAGGCUGAAUUUGAACUCCAGCCCUCUCGCUCUCUCCACUGUGCCACCUGGCCACUCAUAGAGCCAUUCCUGAUCCAAAGGAAUAAAUGUUCCAGAAGACAUAAUGUGAGCUUCCAUUUCUAAGCAAGAACUGAAUUUCUCAUUCCUUAGCUUUCCAAACUGCUAUAUGGCCUCUCUAAUGAUACUAUUAAAAUAACUCUGUAUGGUUGUGCCAGGGAGACUAUUAUAAUUAAAUCAUGGAUCAGAAAACUCACUAAAAAUAUUGAACCAUAUUUUCUAGAGUUUUUCAAUACAUAAAAAGAAAAAUUGAGACUGGCUUUAAUGAUUGAUUAAUUAAAAGUUUAGAUGCAUUUUAAAAAUUGAUUAAAUUAUGUCUAUGGCCAAACAUUUCUCUUGUGGUAAAGCAUCUCCUUUUGAAAUAUAAGCUAAUAAAAAAAUAGAGUCCAUUUACAUCAAAUUUAGUUUUUAGUCAACUUUAAUAAAAUGCAUAAUUUUAAAAUUUGGAACUAACAGUUAAAGAUUAACUCACAUAGUAUUACAAGAAUAAUUCAGCUUAAAAUGGUGCCAAUAUAUGAAAACCAGAAUUAUUAUGGUUCAGUGAUUGAGAGUGUGUUAGGAAGAAGGGAGUUCAGAAAGAGAAGAUAGUUAUUUCCAACGCAAUUUUUGCCAUUGGGUCUUUCAAAACAAGUUUUGUGAUUAUAAUAUUUUUUCCUUUUGCCACCAAUUAUCAACUAAAAUAGAUUCAAAACUUACUCUCAUCAGAUGUCCUCUGAUUUAGUGUCCAGAAAAAAAAAUUGGGAUAUUUUUAUAACAUACUUUAUAGCAUACAUUUUUUUGUAAACUAUGUUCAUUUUUGAAUAAUGUCAUUCCCGUGUUGGCUUGUAGAUAUUAAAGUGAAAGUAAUGACGAUUCAAUAAAUGUUUUCUUUUGGUUUCUGGUUUACUUUUUUCAUUCUUU